This 663-nucleotide ribosomal RNA is filed under the name Fusarium sp. UFMGCB_648. RNAcentral's name for it is "eukaryotic LSU rRNA". The stretch from base 530 to 663 matches the Rfam family "Eukaryotic large subunit ribosomal RNA", at positions 1 to 139 of the family's 3401-position model. Lineage: Eukaryota; Fungi; Ascomycota; Sordariomycetes; Hypocreales; Nectriaceae. The record is from RNAcentral.
UUUAGAGGAAGUAAAAGUCGUAACAAGGUCUCCGUAUGGUGAACCAGCGGAGGGAUCAUUACCUGAGUUUACAACUCCCAAACCCCUGUGAACAUACCUUAUGUUGCCUCGGCGGAUCAGCCCGCGCCCCGUAAAAAGGGACGGCCCGCCGCAGGAACCCUAAACUCUGUUUUUAGUGGAACUUCUGAGUAUAAAAAACAAAUAAAUCAAAACUUUCAACAACCGGAUCUCUUGGGUUCUGGCAUCGAUGAAGAACGCAGCAAAAUGCGAUUAAGUAAUGUGAAUUGGCAGAAUUCAGUGAAUCAUCGAAUCUUUGAACCGCACAUUGCGCCCGCCAAGUAUUUCUGGCGGGCAUGCCUGUUCGAGCGUCAAUUUCAACCCUCAAAGCCCAGCUUGGUGUUGGGAGCUGCAGUCCUGCUGCACUCCCCAAAUACAUUGGCGGUCACGUCGAGCUUCACAUAGCGUAGUAAUUUACACAUCGUUACUGGUAAUCGUCGCGGCCACGCCGUUAACCCCAACUUCUGAAUGUUGACCUCGGAUCAGGUAGGAAUACCCGCUGAACUUAAGCAUAUCAAUAAGCGGAGGAAAAGAAACCAACAGGGAUUGCCCUAGUAACGGCGAGUGAAGCGGCAACAGCUCAAAUUUGAAUCUGGCUUUCGGGCC